UGCAUCAACCGUAAGUCUACAAGUUCUCAU
This 30-nucleotide non-coding RNA is filed under the name Mus musculus (house mouse). Lineage: Eukaryota; Metazoa; Chordata; Mammalia; Rodentia; Muridae. The record is from RNAcentral.